GAUGAACGCUGGCGGCGUGCUUAACACAUGCAAGUCGAACGGACUUAUUAUGAAGCCUAGCGAUUAAUAAGUUAGUGGCGGACGGGUGAGUAACGCGUGGGUAACCUGCCUCAUACAGGGGGAUAACACUUAGAAAUAGGUGCUAAUACCGCAUAAGCGCACAGUAUCGCAUGAUACAGUGUGAAAAACUCCGGUGGUAUGAGAUGGACCCGCGUCUGAUUAGCUAGUUGGUGGGGUAACGGCCUACCAAGGCAACGAUCAGUAGCCGGCCUGAGAGGGUGACCGGCCACAUUGGGACUGAGACACGGCCCAAAC
This 315-nucleotide ribosomal RNA is filed under the name uncultured bacterium. RNAcentral describes it as "bacterial SSU rRNA". It matches the Rfam family "Bacterial small subunit ribosomal RNA", at positions 28 to 336 of the family's 1533-position model. The record is from RNAcentral.